Molecule: ribosomal RNA, 253 nt
Filed under: uncultured bacterium
Lineage: Bacteria
Description: partial 16S ribosomal RNA
Rfam family: Bacterial small subunit ribosomal RNA
Source: RNAcentral
UACGUAGGGUGCGAGCGUUGUCCGGAAUUAUUGGGCGUAAAGAGCUUGUAGGCGGUCUGUCGCGUCUGCUGUGAAAAUCCGGGGCUCAACCCCGGACUUGCAGUGGGUACGGGCAGACUAGAGUGUGGUAGGGGAGACUGGAAUUCCUGGUGUAGCGGUGAAAUGCGCAGAUAUCAGGAGGAACACCGAUGGCGAAGGCGGCAUCCUGGACCAACACUGACGCUGAGGAGCGAAAGCCAGGGGAGCAAACGGG